This 93-nucleotide non-coding RNA is filed under the name uncultured Butyricicoccus sp. RNAcentral describes it as "Glycine riboswitch". It matches the Rfam family "Glycine riboswitch aptamer", at positions 9 to 86 of the family's 94-position model. Rfam says of the family: This family represents the bacterial glycine riboswitch. Glycine riboswitches usually consist of two metabolite-binding aptamers domains with similar structures in tandem. Lineage: Bacteria; Bacillati; Bacillota; Clostridia; Eubacteriales; Butyricicoccaceae. The record is from RNAcentral.
CACUCUGGAGAAGCUUCUAACGAUUCGUUGAGAAGUGCCGAAGGUGCAAGGAACAGAAAAAUUCCAAAACUCUCAGGCAAAAGGACGGAGAUA